RNAcentral lists this ribosomal RNA (1369 nucleotides) under uncultured bacterium. RNAcentral describes it as "bacterial SSU rRNA". It matches the Rfam family "Bacterial small subunit ribosomal RNA", at positions 28 to 1381 of the family's 1533-position model. The record is from RNAcentral.
GACGAACGCUGGCUGCGUGCCUAAUACAUGCAAGUAGAACGCUGAAGAGAGGAGCUUGCUCUUCUUGGAUGAGUUGCGAACGGGUGAGUAACGCGUAGGUAACCUGCCUUGUAGCGGGGGAUAACUAUUGGAAACGAUAGCUAAUACCGCAUAACAAUGGAUGACACAUGUCAUUUAUUUGAAAGGGGCAAUUGCUCCACUACAAGAUGGACCUGCGUUGUAUUAGCUAGUAGGUGAGGUAACGGCUCACCUAGGCGACGAUACAUAGCCGACCUGAGAGGGUGAUCGGCCACACUGGGACUGAGACACGGCCCAGACUCCUACGGGAGGCAGCAGUAGGGAAUCUUCGGCAAUGGGGGCAACCCUGACCGAGCAACGCCGCGUGAGUGAAGAAGGUUUUCGGAUCGUAAAGCUCUGUUGUAAGUCAAGAACGAGUGUGAGAGUGGAAAGUUCACACUGUGACGGUAGCUUACCAGAAAGGGACGGCUAACUACGUGCCAGCAGCCGCGGUAAUACGUAGGUCCCGAGCGUUGUCCGGAUUUAUUGGGCGUAAAGCGAGCGCAGGCGGUUUGAUAAGUCUGAAGUUAAAGGCUGUGGCUCAACCAUAGUUCGCUUUGGAAACUGUCAAACUUGAGUGCAGAAGGGGAGAGUGGAAUUCCAUGUGUAGCGGUGAAAUGCGUAGAUAUAUGGAGGAACACCGGUGGCGAAAGCGGCUCUCUGUUCUGUAACUGACGCUGAGGCUCGAAAGCGUGGGGAGCGAACAGGAUUAGAUACCCUGGUAGUCCACGCCGUAAACGAUGAGUGCUAGGUGUUGGAUCCUUUCCGGGAUUCAGUGCCGCAGCUAACGCAUUAAGCACUCCGCCUGGGGAGUACGACCGCAAGGUUGAAACUCAAAGGAAUUGACGGGGGCCCGCACAAGCGGUGGAGCAUGUGGUUUAAUUCGAAGCAACGCGAAGAACCUUACCAGGUCUUGACAUCCCGAUGCUAUUUCUAGAGAUAGAAAGUUACUUCGGUACAUCGGUGACAGGUGGUGCAUGGUUGUCGUCAGCUCGUGUCGUGAGAUGUUGGGUUAAGUCCCGCAACGAGCGCAACCCCUAUUGUUAGUUGCCAUCAUUCAGUUGGGCACUCUAGCGAGACUGCCGGUAAUAAACCGGAGGAAGGUGGGGAUGACGUCAAAUCAUCAUGCCCCUUAUGACCUGGGCUACACACGUGCUACAAUGGUUGGUACAACGAGUUGCGAGUCGGUGACGGCAAGCUAAUCUCUUAAAGCCAAUCUCAGUUCGGAUUGUAGGCUGCAACUCGCCUACAUGAAGUCGGAAUCGCUAGUAAUCGCGGAUCAGCACGCCGCGGUGAAUACGUUCCCGGGCCU